Molecule: non-coding RNA, 752 nt
Filed under: Tenebrionoidea sp. 4 KM-2017
Lineage: Eukaryota; Metazoa; Arthropoda; Insecta; Coleoptera
Source: RNAcentral
UAAAAGUUUAAUUUUAGCUUAAAGUUUAGCUUUAAUUUAUAUAUAUAUGUAAAGUAUAAAUUUGAUAAUUUGUUAGAGCAGUAUAAAGAUUUAAAUAUUAAUUAAGGUUAGAUUUAGGUGUUGUUAUUAGUAUAAACAAAGUUUGUGCCAGCAGUUGCGGUUACACAAACUAUACAAGCUAAACAUAUUUUAGUGAGUUGAAUGUAAAGUUUAUUAAUUUAGAGUUAGAUUUUUUAGGUGAAAUUUUAAAUUUAAGUUAAAUUAAUUUUUUGAUUUUGAGGCUUAAAAAUUUUUUAAUUAAACUAGGAUUAGAUACCCUACUAUUAAAAAUUUAAUUUUAAGCUAAUAAUUAUUAGUAGCUAAGUUCUUUAAAAUUAAAAAUUUUGGCGGUAUUUUAGUCUUUUUAGAGGAACCUGUUUUUUAAUCGAUAUUCCACGAUUGGAUGAACUUGAGAUUUUAGCUUGCAUAUCGUUGAAGUUUAAAUAUUUUUUUAGAAUUUUAAUAUUUAGAAUUUUAAAUGAAAAAGAAAAUCAGAUCAAGGUGUAGUUUAUUUUUAAGUUAAAAUGGGUUACAAUAAAUUAAUUUAUAGAUUAGUAGGGUUAGGCCUAUUAUGAAAUUGGAUUUAAAAGUAAAUAUUUUAUAUUAAUAGUAUUGAUUUUGCUCUAAAAUAUGUACAUAUUGCCCGUCGCUUUCAUUUAUUAUGAAAUAAGUCGUAACAAAGUAGGCCUACCGGAAGGUGGGCCUAGAGACAA